Molecule: small RNA, 28 nt
Filed under: Bombyx mori (domestic silkworm)
Lineage: Eukaryota; Metazoa; Arthropoda; Insecta; Lepidoptera; Bombycidae
Description: ovarian small RNA-5927
Source: RNAcentral
UACACAACAUAGAGUCUACAAGCUUACA